AAAAUCCGGGAAUCUUUAUGCCGAGCACCGAGACGAGUCCUAUGAGGACGAAGUGACUGACACCACGCUUCCAGCAAAAGCCACUAAGCUUCAGCUGUAGAAAAACCGUACCGUAAACCGACACUGGUAGGCAGGGUGAGAAUCCCAAGGCGCUUGAGAGAACUCGGGUGAAGGAACUAGGCAAAAUGGCACCGUAACUUCGGGAGAAGGUGCGCCCUUUGGUGUGGUCACGUGCGUGACUGAGCAUCGAAGGGUCGCAGUAACCUGGCCGCUGCGACUGUUUAUCAAAAACACAGCACUCUGCAAACACGAAAGUGGACGUAUAGGGUGUGACGCCUGCCCGGUGCUGGAAGGUUAAUUGAUGGGGUCAGCCGCAAGGCGAAGCUCUUGAUCGAAGCCCCAGUAAACGGCGGCCGUAACAAUAACGGUCCUAAGGUAGCGAAAUUCCUUGUCGGGUAAGUUCCGACCUGCACGAAUGGCGUAACGACAGCGGCGCUGUCUCCACCCGAGACUCAGUGAAAUUGAAAUCGCUGUGAAGAUGCAGCGUUCCCGCGGCAAGACGGAAAGACCCCGUGAACCUUUACUAUAGCUUUACAUUGAACGUUGAGUUCUUCUGUGUAGGAUAGGUGGGAGGCUAUGAAACCGAGACGCUAGUUUCGGUGGAGCCAUCCUUGAAAUACCACCCUGAAGUGCUUGACGUUCUAACCUAGGUCCGUAAUCCGGAUCGGGGACCAUGUAUGGUGGGUAGUUUGACUGGGGCGGUCUCCUCCCAAAGAGUAACGGAGGAGCACGAAGGUACGCUCAGCGCGGUCGGACAUCGCGCACUGUGUGCAAAGGCAUAAGCGUGCUUGACUGCGAGAUCGACGGAUCAAGCAGGUACGAAAGUAGGUCUUAGUGAUCCGGUGGUUCUGUAUGGAAGGGCCAUCGCUCAACGGAUAAAAGGUACUCCGGGGAUAACAGGCUGAUACCGCCCAAGAGUUCAUAUCGACGGCGGUGUUUGGCACCUCGAUGUCGGCUCAUCACAUCCUGGGGCUGUAGCCGGUCCCAAGGGUAUGGCUGUUCGCCAUUUAAAGUGGUACGCGAGCUGGGUUCAGAACGUCGUGAGACAGUUCGGUCCCUAUCUGUCGUGGGCGUUGGAGAUUUGAGGGGGGCUGCUCCUAGUACGAGAGGACCGGAGUGGACGUUCCGCUGGUGUUCGGGUUGUCAUGCCCAUGGCAUUGCCCGGUAGCUACGAACGGAAGUGAUAACCGCUGAAAGCAUCUAAGCGGGAAGCACGCCCCAAGAUGAGAUCUCCCGAGAGCUAGACUCUCCUUAAGGCACCAUCAAGACUAGGUGGUUGAUAGGCACGGUGUGGAGGUGCAGCAAUGCAUUGAGCUUACGUGUAACAAUGAGCCGUGAGGCUUGACCG
RNAcentral lists this ribosomal RNA (1408 nucleotides) under metagenome. RNAcentral describes it as "bacterial LSU rRNA". It matches the Rfam family "Bacterial large subunit ribosomal RNA", at positions 1537 to 2925 of the family's 2925-position model. The record is from RNAcentral.